RNAcentral lists this ribosomal RNA (634 nucleotides) under Mycobacterium sp. Ri3Pt_6458. RNAcentral describes it as "bacterial SSU rRNA". It matches the Rfam family "Bacterial small subunit ribosomal RNA", at positions 380 to 1024 of the family's 1533-position model. Lineage: Bacteria; Bacillati; Actinomycetota; Actinomycetes; Mycobacteriales; Mycobacteriaceae. The record is from RNAcentral.
AGCCUGAUGCAGCGACGCCGCGUGGGGGAUGACGGCCUUCGGGUUGUAAACCUCUUUCAGUACAGACGAAGCGCAAGUGACGGUAUGUACAGAAGAAGCACCGGCCAACUACGUGCCAGCAGCCGCGGUAAUACGUAGGGUGCGAGCGUUGUCCGGAAUUACUGGGCGUAAAGAGCUCGUAGGUGGUUUGUCGCGUUGUUCGUGAAAACCAGAGGCUUAACCUCUGGCGUGCGGGCGAUACGGGCAGACUAGAGUACUGCAGGGGAGACUGGAAUUCCUGGUGUAGCGGUGGAAUGCGCAGAUAUCAGGAGGAACACCGGUGGCGAAGGCGGGUCUCUGGGCAGUAACUGACGCUGAGGAGCGAAAGCGUGGGGAGCGAACAGGAUUAGAUACCCUGGUAGUCCACGCCGUAAACGGUGGGUACUAGGUGUGGGUUUCCUUCCUUGGGAUCCGUGCCGUAGCUAACGCAUUAAGUACCCCGCCUGGGGAGUACGGCCGCAAGGCUAAAACUCAAAGGAAUUGACGGGGGCCCGCACAAGCGGCGGAGCAUGUGGAUUAAUUCGAUGCAACGCGAAGAACCUUACCUGGGUUUGACAUGCACAGGACGUGCCUAGAGAUAGGUAUUCCCUUGUGG